Non-coding RNA from Gossypium arboreum, 223 nucleotides. Lineage: Eukaryota; Viridiplantae; Streptophyta; Magnoliopsida; Malvales; Malvaceae. The record is from Rfam.
CAUAGACAGUAGCUUAGUUAGGGGAACCUACUGAAACUGUAAUGAAAGCGAGUCUUCAUAGGGAAAUUUUCAUUGCUAAUGGGCCCAAACUUAGGUGACCUAUCUAUGACAAGGAUGAAGCUUGAGUGGAACUAAGUGGAGGUUUGAACCAGUUGACGUUGAAGAAUUAACAAGAUAAGUUGUGGUUAGGGUUGAAAUGCUACUCGAACGCAAAAUUAGUUUG